This is a small nucleolar RNA of Bufo bufo (common toad), 76 nucleotides long. RefSeq annotates it as small nucleolar RNA SNORD53/SNORD92. The transcript has a single exon. The record is from RefSeq and is a predicted model, not a curated record. NCBI's taxonomy places the organism in Eukaryota, Metazoa, Chordata, Amphibia, Anura, Bufonidae.
CUGCCGUGAUGAUUUCAGUCUGGUUUCGCUUAUGUCGGACACGUUGUGAAGACAUUUCUCUUGGCUGGCUGAGCAG